This 205-nucleotide long non-coding RNA is filed under the name Nicotiana benthamiana. RNAcentral's name for it is "long non-coding RNA (NBEN_LNC000184)". Lineage: Eukaryota; Viridiplantae; Streptophyta; Magnoliopsida; Solanales; Solanaceae. The record is from RNAcentral.
CGGUGCGAAUCCGGGUCAAUUAACCCGUGAUUCGUUAGGGCUUUGAGUAGUGUUUGACCCGAAAGCCCAAUGAUUUCGCGUUUGUGGCCGUCUGGGUCCACGGCGGAGAGCUUGACGAUCCGAUCAGCGACUUUGGCGGAGGCGGAGCGGGAGGGGGAUGGUGACGUGGCGGAAGAGCGAGUGAUUGAGGCUCUGAAGGUGGAGG